GUGGGGAAUAUUGGACAAUGGGGGGAACCCUGAUCCAGCCAUGCCGCGUGUGUGAAGAAGGCCUUUUGGUUGUAAAGCACUUUAAGCGAGGAGGAGGCUACCGAGAUUAAUACUCUUGGAUAGUGGACGUUACUCGCAGAAUAAGCACCGGCUAACUCUGUGCCAGCAGCCGCGGUAAUACAGAGGGUGCAAGCGUUAAUCGGAUUUACUGGGCGUAAAGCGCGCGUAGGUGGCCAAUUAAGUCAAAUGUGAAAUCCCCGAGCUUAACUUGGGAAUUGCAUUCGAUACUGGUUGGCUAGAGUAUGGGAGAGGAUGGUAGAAUUCCAGGUGUAGCGGUGAAAUGCGUAGAGAUCUGGAGGAAUACCGAUGGCGAAGGCAGCCAUCUGGCCUAAUACUGACACCGAGGUGCGAAAGCAUGGGGAGCAAACAGGAUUAGAUACCCCAGUAGUCC
This 451-nucleotide ribosomal RNA is filed under the name uncultured bacterium. RNAcentral's name for it is "partial 16S ribosomal RNA". It matches the Rfam family "Bacterial small subunit ribosomal RNA", at positions 354 to 796 of the family's 1533-position model. The record is from RNAcentral.